UACGGAGGAUCCAAGCGUUAUCCGGAUUUAUUGGGUUUAAAGGGUGCGUAGGCGGUCUGUUAAGUCAGUGGUGAAAGUUUGCAGCUCAACUGUAAAAUUGCCAUUGAAACUGGUAGACUUGAGUAUGGUAGAGGUAAGCGGAAUGCGUUGUGUAGCGGUGAAAUGCUUAGAUAUAACGCAGAACCCCAAUUGCGAAGGCAGCUUGCUGGACCAUUACUGACGCUGAGGCACGAAAGCGUGGGGAUCAAACAGG
RNAcentral lists this ribosomal RNA (253 nucleotides) under uncultured Paludibacter sp. RNAcentral describes it as "partial 16S ribosomal RNA". It matches the Rfam family "Bacterial small subunit ribosomal RNA", at positions 524 to 776 of the family's 1533-position model. Lineage: Bacteria; Pseudomonadati; Bacteroidota; Bacteroidia; Bacteroidales; Paludibacteraceae. The record is from RNAcentral.